UACGUAGGGUGCAAGCGUUGUCCGGACUUAUUGGGCGUGAAGAGCUCGUAGGUGGCCUGUCGCGUCGGCUGUGAAAACUCGGGGCUCAACUCCGAGCUUGCAGUCGAUACGGGCAGGCUAGAGUUCGGCAGGGGAGACUGGAAUUCCUGGUGUAGCGGUGAAAUGCGCAGAUAUCAGGAGGAACACCAAUAGCGAAGGCAGCUCGCUGGGACGUUACUGACACUGAGGCGCGAAAGCGUGGGGAGCGAACAGG
RNAcentral lists this ribosomal RNA (253 nucleotides) under uncultured bacterium. Its description in RNAcentral is "partial 16S ribosomal RNA". It matches the Rfam family "Bacterial small subunit ribosomal RNA", at positions 524 to 776 of the family's 1533-position model. The record is from RNAcentral.